Molecule: ribosomal RNA, 800 nt
Filed under: uncultured bacterium
Lineage: Bacteria
Description: bacterial SSU rRNA
Rfam family: Bacterial small subunit ribosomal RNA
Source: RNAcentral
AGAGUUUGAUCAUGGCUCAGGACGAACGCUGGCGGCGUGCCUAACACAUGCAAGUCGAACGGAGUUCGGGAGCUUGCUCCCGAACUUAGUGGCGGACGGGUGAGUAACGCGUGAGCAACCUGCCUUUCAGAGGGGAAUAACGUCCUGAAAAGGACGCUAAUACCGCAUAACAUAAGCUAUCCGCAUGGGGAGCUUAUCAAAGGAGCAAUCCGCUGAGAGAUGGGCUCGCGUCCGAUUAGCCAGUUGGCGGGGUAACGGCCCACCAAAGCGACGAUCGGUAGCCGGACUGAGAGGUUGAACGGCCACAUUGGAAUUGAGAACGGUCCAGACUCCUACGGGAGGCAGCAGUGGGGGAUAUUGCGCAAUGGGGGGAACCCUGACGCAGCAACGCCGCGUGAAGGAAGAAGGUCUUCGGAUUGUAAACUUCUUUUAUCAAGGACGAAGAAUGACGGUACUUGAUGAAUAAGCUCCGGCUAACUACGUGCCAGCAGCCGCGGUAAUACGUAGGGAGCGAGCGUUGUCCGGAUUUACUGGGUGUAAAGGGUGCGUAGGCGGCCGAGCAAGUCAGUUGUGAAAUCUAUGGGCUCAACCCAUAGCCUGCAAUUGAAACUGUCCGGCUUGAGUGAAGUAGAGGCAGGCGGAAUUCCCGGUGUAGCGGUGAAAUGCGUAGAGAUCGGGAGGAACACCAGUGGCGAAGGCGGCCUGCUGGGCUUUAACUGACGCUGAGGCACGAAAGCAUGGGUAGCAAACAGGAUUAGAUACCCUGGUAGUCCAUGCCGUAAACGAUGAUUACUAGGUGU